Phacochoerus africanus (Common warthog) is the source of this 293-nucleotide long non-coding RNA. RefSeq lists it as uncharacterized. Lineage: Eukaryota; Metazoa; Chordata; Mammalia; Artiodactyla; Suidae. The transcript has 3 exons. The record is from RefSeq and is a predicted model, not a curated record.
GGCGCGCCGCGCCUUUCCCCUGGCUUCGCCCGCCAGCCUUGGUGCACAAACCCGAUGUUUUUCCGCCGGUUUCCAAAGAAGCAAGCUCAUGGUGCUUUAAGAUCCCUAAGCUGUAUGGAGUGAAACCUGUAGCCUUCACUUCUUUGCCCUCUGUCACACUGAAAUAACUGUGUUGCAGCUUGAUGUGGGAUCUCAUUCUCCAGACCAGGGAUUGAACCCAGGCCACAGUGGAUCUGGAAAUAAAGCAAGGAUUUGUGACUACUGCUGAUCACUUCUGGAGCUGUCUUGAGACU